Molecule: long non-coding RNA, 1612 nt
Filed under: Nicotiana benthamiana
Lineage: Eukaryota; Viridiplantae; Streptophyta; Magnoliopsida; Solanales; Solanaceae
Description: long non-coding RNA (NBEN_LNC034564)
Source: RNAcentral
UAGUUCAUGAAUCCUCUAUUGCAAACACUUCAUCAUGCCUCCGUUUUGAGAAAGCAGUGCAUAAGAGUUCACCAUAAUUACAAAGUUCUGCUCCUUUACAGUUGGUGGCCUCAUCUAGGACUUAUUGUCUACACACAACAUGAUGCUCGCAGGCUUUUUAUUUCUAGAUUGCCAAAGACCGAUGCCAAAGAACAUAGAGCUUUACAGUGUAACACUUGUAGUACUUUUCUUGAGUUACAUUAUAAAGAGUUGUUGCAACAUGAGGAAAUGGGUAACUUAAGGCUACAUGACAACACCUGCUGGUCUGGUCUCACUCUGUGGCUUGAUGUUCAUUCCACACUUAUGUUAUUGGCGUAAUAGGUAGUAACUAUUAACAAUAUUAAUAGAACAAAUUAAUAAAAUAUUGAUGUUCAUUCCACACUUAUGUUAGUAGUAACUAUUAACAAUAUUAAUAAAACAAAUCCAAAAAAAUGCAUAUAUACAGGAAUUAUAUUCGACUCAAUAAUUAAGAGCAUGUCCUUUUAUUUUGUUAUACCUGCACAGGACGAACGGUACUUGCCACAACACGAAAACCAAAACAAGACCAAAUAGAGUAACCAUUCCACACUUAUGUUAUUGGCGUGUUCACAAGUAGAAUAUAUAUCAGGGAGUCAGACUGCCCCAAUGAAAGUACGCCACAAGCAAUCAACAAUCCCCCCAACCACCAACAUAAUAGUACAACUACAAAAACACAGACUAUGCUAGCUUAACAUACAAAAGUAAGAAGCUAAUUUAGUAACUAAGAAGAGAAAUAAAAGAAGUUAUACUAAUGCACUACAAACAAACUUCAUAAAGUACAACACUACACAAGCACAAAGCGUGAAUCGAAUAUUCCAAUUAGCACCUAGCACCACAUUUUCUCAUAGCACAAAGCGUGAAUCGAAUAUUCCAAUUAGCACCUAGCAUCACAUUUUCUCAUAGAAAUUAUCUGCCACUAAGCUAUAAUGUCACUUUCUAUGGCAUUGAGGCAUUUAAUCAAGCACAUGGCAUUCACCAAAAUUACCUCAUAACUUCAACUUUAAUUCUUCCAAAAUUACUACACAACCAUACCAAUCAACCAUCCUACCACCAUCACAAUGUAACAAGGGCACAAAGUGCUCCAAAUUUGCACAAAUAUUCUAUCAAUUUUCGGCCUUUAAGGCACCUCUACCCAACUUCACCAUUAAUUUUUUUUAUAAGCAUCAAGACAUACUAAAAUGCUUCCACAAUUAUAAGCACAAUGGAAACCCAACAAAUUAAGCACCAAUCAUGGCCAAAAUAAAUAAUUAAAUUGAAAAAAUUAGCACCACUACACUACCUAGGGUUAAGUUCAAAUUAAACUAUACGACUCACUACAAUAAAUUACUCAAAGAAUAGAGAAGAGAGUGGAGAAACUUACCUUGAGAAUGAAUGGAAGGGAUGAGAUAUGUGUGUGGGAAGGAAAUUGAGAAGAAAAGAGAUUGGGGGAAUUGGGGGAAAGGCUGAACGUUUAGUUUGAGAGAGAAAAGAGAAAAAGGGGUUGGGGCGGGGGUUGCUGAACGAGUGUGUGUUUAAAAGAAGAUAGAAAAAAAAAAUAUUUUAUUUUUUAAUAAAA